This 2538-nucleotide long non-coding RNA is filed under the name Glycine max (soybean). RNAcentral describes it as "long non-coding RNA (GMAX_LNC000663)". The record is from RNAcentral. Lineage: Eukaryota; Viridiplantae; Streptophyta; Magnoliopsida; Fabales; Fabaceae.
GGACAUCUAGGGCAUGGAGCUUGUAGAACUUUUUUAAUAUAUUGCAUUGGGAAAGCUGUGAGGCCAGGUAGAUCUUUGGACAGUUGAAGAUGGCUCACUAUCAUAUCCAUGGUAAGCUCCGAUUCCAUCUUGAAGUUAGAUUAAACCUAACUCAAUCCUAAAAGCUAGCUCAUGAGGUGAGGAUUUCCCAAACCUUUAUAAGCUUUAAUUUCUCAACAUCUCAAACAAAUUUUUACCAACAAUACUCUCUGGGAGAAAUUAUAACUAGAAGCAACAACCUACAACACCAAAUCAGGCCUAAUAGUAAAGGAAUUAUAUUGAAUAGGAUCAGGCAUACCCAGGUUAACAUUAUGAAGUAGCAUCUGCAGUAAACUGUUGCAUUAUGUAUGCAUGUGUGUGUGUGAGCAAAGCUAACAUACCCUGCCUUUCGCAUAUCCUGGUAUAUAGCCAGGCAUUGUUGCACCUCGUGUAGGGAGCCGUAUUUACUGCGUGCCUUCAGAAGUGUGUUAUAUGUCACCUGAGAGAUAAUUAACAAAAUCAAUAGAGAUAAGUUGAUGAAGCAUACUCUGUUAAUUUUUCCCAAUAUCACAAGAAAGUUGUAAUUUCCAUUUUUUUUUAUAUUUACUGUAUUAUGCGUUGUCUGCCAUUUCUUUUCGUCAUGAGUAGAUAUGUCAGCCAUUGUACUUAUAUUUUAGUUGGUUUUUAUGGUUGUAGAAUCUUAGAGCAGCCUCAUCCAUGUUGCAUUGAGUUCGUGGAUAGAGCUAUCUAAGUUUACCAUUUUGUGAAUAGAAUCAUAACAUGAUAACAACUAAAGUCACUAGGCACUCACCCAACUUGGACGUAUCUCGUAGCAUUUCAUUUCUUCAUAUAAUGUUAAUGCUUGCAUAAAAUUCUUACUUUCAACACAAACCUGUGAACCAGAAGGCAAAAUUCCCUUAUGUCAAAGGCCAUAUAAAUUUAAGAUAGUGAAAAACAUCCACUACAAGUGUACAAGUAAUUUCAUAAAAUAAAAUAAGCUAAUUUUGACAGAAAAGCCUUUGACCUUCAUGGCUGUUGUAUAUGCAAUAACACCAGGUUUAAUUCCAGCAUCACCCAUGGUUUUCAAAAUCUGCAUGGGAACAUAGUCAUCUGAUCAGAGAACUAAAUGCAUUAUCAUGAUACAGAUAAGCGAAGUACAAUGAUCAGUACUCUGCAUAUCAAUAUUCAGGCAGACUAUUAUUUCUCAGCGAUUAUUUUGAAGUCUGGUUUUAUAUGGAAUAUGACUUAUUGACUAGAUAAGCUAAUUAAAGAGUGGUCCAUAAUGAGUUUCCAUGGCUGCAAUUUAAAGAUGAUAACUCUGAAGUUACACUAUUCAUCUUGCAGCUAUAAAUUUCUCUUGUAAAUGCUUUGCUUUUUAACAUUUUGGAGAAGGGUUUUCCUACUAGCUGUUCUAUACCUCAAUAGUCUUUUAUCUAAUUAUUUAUUAAACUUACACAUUCAAUUGUACCCAACCAAAAAAUUGAACAUAUCAGGCAUACUUAUGAGAUUAACAAACACUUUCUUGCUGUUCUUUUGGUGUGUCUAAAUAAUGCAAGUGAUACAUAAAAAACGUCAAAUAUGAUAAGAAAACCAUGAUGUUCCUGUUCCCUGUGGCACCAAUCCUAAUACAACUUGACUAAAAAGGUUUCCAAAAAAUGUUCUAGAUUAUUAAAUUUUUACCUCAAUGGCACCCUCCACAUUUGCUGAUGCUCCACAUAUAUCUAUCAAAAUUGACCAGCUUAUCUGAUUAGGGGAAAGACCUACUGUUUCCAUCUCUUUUAUUAAUGCUUUUGCAUGGUAAUAAUCAGUACCACAGGGCUUCAGCAAGAUAUAGUAUGUUGUUGUAGUUGGUGUGAAAGGGAACCUCUCAGAAAAACUCAAGAUGUGUGAAUUAGAAAUGCCAUUUGGCAUAGAAGUAACAUUAUGCAUGUGUCCCUGCCCUAAAUUGCUAUUGUAGCCUUCACCAGAUGACCCCAACAUCUUUUUUCCCUUCCAAGAAUGGAAAAAGCGAAAACCCCUGUCAUAUUGGUAAGCUUCAACACAUGCAUUUAAAAUGAUGUUGAAACACUGCGUAUUAGGUUCACAGCCUGCCAAAAGCAUUUCUUCAAAUAACUGAAUUGCCUGCUCUACAAGCCCUGCAUGUGCGCAGGCAUUGCUUAAUGAUGACCAUGCAACAAUAUUAAGAGAAACACCAGCAGACAGCAUGUCUUGCUUGAUUUUUAGAGCCAUCUGCCACAACUUUACAUCUGCAAAGACCUGAAAUUGAUAUUUGUCAGGAGAUGUCAAAUAUUUUGUACUAUAAAAUAAAUGUGUUACAUAUUACUUCACUGAAGAGAAGUGAAGGAGAAGGUUGUGGGUACCAUGCAAUAUCAAAUGAAAUUAUGGUGAUUCUGUAUCUACAGUAAUACCUUUAUAAUUGUGCUGUAGGUAAGGACAUCUAAUUUUAGCUGUCCCACUGAUUCCAAAUGCUUAAGUUCCCUAUAAAUGCCUUGAGUCAGAUCAACUCUUCCAGCAACACAG